CCUACGGGAGGCAGCAGUGGGGAAUUUUGGACAAUGGGCGCAAGCCUGAUCCAGCCAUUCCGCGUGAGUGAAGAAGGCCUUCGGGUUGUAAAGCUCUUUCGCAAGGGAAGAAAACUUACAUUCUAAUAAAGUGUGAGGCUGACGGUACCUUGAUAAGAAGCACCGGCUAACUACGUGCCAGCAGCCGCGGUAAUACGUAGGGUGCGAGCGUUAAUCGGAAUUACUGGGCGUAAAGCGUGCGCAGGCGGUUUUGUAAGUCAGAUGUGAAAUCCCCGGGCUCAACCUGGGAACUGCGUUUGAAACUACAAGGCUAGAGUGUAGCAGAGGGGGGUAGAAUUCCACGUGUAGCAGUGAAAUGCGUAGAGAUGUGGAGGAAUACCAAUGGCGAAGGCAGCCCCCUGGGUUAACACUGACGCUCAUGCACGAAAGCGUGGGGAGCAAACAGGAUUAGAUACCCUGGUAGUCCACGCCCUAAACGAUGUCUACUAGUUGUUGGGAGAGUAAACUCUCUUAGUAACGCAGCUACGCGUGAGUAGACCGCCGUCGGGUAGGUACGGUCGCGAGAGUAAACGUAACAAUAGAAGUAGACGGCGUGAGACGUGACCGACGGACGACGACGAGGGAGGAGG
RNAcentral lists this ribosomal RNA (629 nucleotides) under uncultured bacterium. Its description in RNAcentral is "bacterial SSU rRNA". The stretch from base 1 to 542 matches the Rfam family "Bacterial small subunit ribosomal RNA", at positions 338 to 873 of the family's 1533-position model. The record is from RNAcentral.